Cynocephalus volans (Philippine flying lemur) is the source of this 104-nucleotide small nuclear RNA. The record is from RefSeq and is a predicted model, not a curated record. NCBI's taxonomy places the organism in Eukaryota, Metazoa, Chordata, Mammalia, Dermoptera, Cynocephalidae.
AUGCUCGCUUCAGCAGCACAAGUACUAAAAUUGGAAUGAUACAGAGAUUAGCAUGGCCCCUGCAUGAGGAUGACACACAAAUUCAUGAAGUGUUCCAUAACUUU